RNAcentral lists this ribosomal RNA (253 nucleotides) under uncultured bacterium. RNAcentral's name for it is "partial 16S ribosomal RNA". It matches the Rfam family "Bacterial small subunit ribosomal RNA", at positions 524 to 776 of the family's 1533-position model. The record is from RNAcentral.
UACAGAGGGGGCAAGCGUUGUUCGGAAUUACUGGGCGUAAAGGGCGCGUAGGCGGCCUGUUAAGUCGAACGUGAAAUCCCCGGGCUCAACCCGGGAACUGCGUCCGAUACUGGCAGGCUUGAAUCCGGGAGAGGGAUGCGGAAUUCCAGGUGUAGCGGUGAAAUGCGUAGAUAUCUGGAGGAACACCGGUGGCGAAGGCGGUUGCCUGGAGCUUUGCUGACGCUGAGGCGCGAAAGCGUGGGGAGCGAGCCGG